UCCGAGUUGUCCCCGGCAGUCCUCCUAGAGUCCCCGGCGUUACCCGCUGGCAACAUAGGACGAGGGUUGCGCUCGUUGCGGGACUUAACCCAACAUCUCACGACACGAGCUGACGACAACCAUGCACCACCUGUGCAGAGCCCUUGCGGACCCGACAUCUCUGCCGGAUUUCUCUGCAUGUCAAGCCUUGGUAAGGUUCUUCGCGUUGCGUCGAAUUAAGCCACAUGCUCCGCCGCUUGUGCGGGCCCCCGUCAAUUCCUUUGAGUUUUAGCCUUGCGGCCGUACUCCCCAGGCGGGGUGCUUAAUGCGUUAGCUUCGGCACAGAGCGGGUCAAACGCCGCCCCACACCUAGCACCCAACGUUUACGGCUAGGACUAC
RNAcentral lists this unclassified non-coding RNA (378 nucleotides) under uncultured Actinomycetes bacterium. Its description in RNAcentral is "uncultured actinobacterium contains 16S-23S intergenic spacer region". The record is from RNAcentral. Lineage: Bacteria; Bacillati; Actinomycetota; Actinomycetes.